RNAcentral lists this long non-coding RNA (685 nucleotides) under Physcomitrium patens. Its description in RNAcentral is "long non-coding RNA (PPAT_LNC009585)". The record is from RNAcentral. Lineage: Eukaryota; Viridiplantae; Streptophyta; Bryopsida; Funariales; Funariaceae.
UGGUGUGUAUACAAGUGAAAUUUGGGAAAUGUAUUGGUGUGCUAGCUAUAAAUGUAUUUACAAAUUUUGAGGUCAAUCAAACAAUUAGAUCAAAGUAUAUGAAUAUUUUUAUAGGUUGACAUCUCAGAAAUUGGAAUUUGAGGGUCAAUGAGUAUUUUUAAGAUCUUCAGCAAUCUAUUAAUUUUUAUAUAGAUAUAAGACUUAGUUUUCCAUAUUUGUAUGAAAUUUAAGAGUAAUUCAAGGAUUCAAGCAAGAAAAAUUGGCAAUAGAAGUUUAGUAUUUAGAUUAGAAUAGGAGGCCAUCCAAUACUUAUUUAGAUUAUCUUACAUUUUUCUCAAUUAGUAGUGCCAUUGGUUUUAUCUUUCUUGUGCUUGUUUUUAACUAAGAUAUUAACAAGUAUAAAAAUUUUGAAUUGAUAUCAAUGGUUUGAUCAUUAAUUAUUGAUGUUUUUAUUCUGUUAUAGAAUUUGUUAAGAGUUUGUUUAAGAUCUAGGAUUUACUUAAGAUUUGGUUUAGAACUUAACUAAUAUUUGAUUAGAAUUUAUUUAGGAUUUGUAUUGGAUUUAGGAUUUUAAUAGGAUUUUAAUGAGGUUAUAUUUAAGAUUUGAUUAAGAUUUAAUUAAGAUUUUAAUUAGGAUUUAUUUAGGAUUUUUAUUUUUAGUAUUCUUUCGAAUUUUCUUUUUCUU